CCGAAUUGUCAACACGAGUUGUUGCUGGUCCUCAAAUGGGGGCAUGUGCACGCUCUGUUCACACAUCCACUCACACCUGUGCACCUUCUGUGGUUCUGUGGCUUGGGGGACUCUGUCCUCUUGCUGUGGUUCUGCAUCUUUACACACACACACACUGUAACAAAGUCUUAUGGAAUGUAUGUCGCGUUUAACGCAAUAUAAUA
RNAcentral lists this unclassified non-coding RNA (203 nucleotides) under uncultured Basidiomycota. Its description in RNAcentral is "sequence contains ITS1". The record is from RNAcentral. Lineage: Eukaryota; Fungi; Basidiomycota.